UUUCCAGUAAUUGUUUUGACUCCUAAUGGAGAAUAACGUCUUGGAGUUUCACACAUCGCAUCAGGAACGAGCAGUGAAAUAUUAUCAGCCGUAUAUGAUUGUUUAGACGAAUGGGUAUUACUUGAUAAAGUACAAGGUUUUAUAUUUGAUACGACUGCAACAAACACCGGCAGACUAAAUGGGACAUGUACACUUUUGGAGCAGAAAUUGAAUAGGAACAUUAUUUAUUUUGCUUUUAGGUAUCAUGUUUUGAAGUUGGUUAUCCAGGAUAAGAUCAAAUCCUAUAUUUUU
Cinara cedri is the source of this 291-nucleotide non-coding RNA. The record is from the annotation of a GenBank genome assembly. NCBI's taxonomy places the organism in Eukaryota, Metazoa, Arthropoda, Insecta, Hemiptera, Aphididae.